GACGAACGCUGGCGGCGUGCUUAACACAUGCAAGUCGAACGGGGAUAAAUUGGAUGAGAGCUUCGGCAGGAAUUUGAUUUAUCCUAGUGGCGGACGGGUGAGUAACGCGUGAGCAACCUGUCCCAGACAGGGGGAUAACACUUGGAAACAGGUGCUAAUACCGCAUAAGACCACGGGAUCACAUGGUUCUGAGGUAAAAGGUGUAAACCGGUUUGGGGUGGGCUCGCGUCCGAUUAGAUAGUUGGUGAGGUAACGGCCCACCAAGUCGACGAUCGGUAGCCGACCUGAGAGGGUGAUCGGCCACAUUGGAACUGAGAGACGGUCCAA
RNAcentral lists this ribosomal RNA (327 nucleotides) under uncultured bacterium. RNAcentral's name for it is "bacterial SSU rRNA". It matches the Rfam family "Bacterial small subunit ribosomal RNA", at positions 28 to 334 of the family's 1533-position model. The record is from RNAcentral.